Long non-coding RNA from Oreochromis aureus, 4640 nucleotides. NCBI's taxonomy places the organism in Eukaryota, Metazoa, Chordata, Actinopteri, Cichliformes, Cichlidae. The record is from Ensembl.
CAUCCAUCUAUCACACGUGUAGACAAAGGGGGACUCCACAACACAAAGCUAGAUGUGCCCUCUCAAACUUUUUUCCCCCCCUACAACCGACAGCAGCGCGCGCACAGGAAGCCGACUGCCCAGGUGGGAAUUUAAGCAAUUUAACCGGUACAGUGCUUGCUUCUGAUGGAUUAAGAAAAUAAAAAAAGAUGUGUAGAAAAAAAAACACAUGGAAGAUGUACAGAUUCACCUAUCAAGCUAUUUUUAAGAUGAAAUGAAGGAUUAAGAGACUGUUCACUUUUCUUCUGGAUGAACAUGAAGACUUAUCUUAUGAGGAUUUAGACUUCAGCAGCAGCAGCGCCAGUCGGAUUGUGUUUUAGGCACACUUGGAAAUCUAAACCUCAUGGAGAUACUUUGAGGAUUAUAAAAGAUGUGCAUGUAGAAUGCCACAAUACAAGACGCGUCCUGGGCCAAAGUCCUUGGGAUAGCAGGAUAUUGCUUUCCUGAUCCUUCUCAGCCCUCAGCAUGGGGAGUGUGGGAGUGGUGAGGUCUGGGAGAUCACGACCUUAAUUCUCUCCAAGACAGACGGUUUAAUUAACACUGGAAGAAUCCUCACUGACUCCAGACCUCUACAGUGAGAAUGUACAGGGGAAUUGGCUUGCCAAGGUCCUCUUGGCCAUAGACUGAAAUGCUGACAGACGAUGCCCAUGAAUGAUGAAUGAUGACUGGAGGUCUGUCUGGUGCCAGCAGAAUGCAUAAUACAGCAUCGAUACAGCAAUCGCAGUCCUCCUCAGCAGAAACAUGGUGCGGUUUCUGUAUCACAUUAUUGGAAGAUUUGCCCCAAGCAGGACAGCAGGACCACUCAAAGUGGAAAUCAACCGCAAUGUUGAAUGUUGUUUUGGGUUGGAGUCCUAAAUGAAGCAGCAUUACAAAGAGUUUUCUGGUGUGUCAGAGUGAGGCUCAGUGGGAAAGAUUGCUGUGUCUAGACAGGAGUGUGAGGUUUUGCCUGAAAACUUUUGGACCAACACAACCUGGGAAAGGUUAAGAUGAACAAAAGAGACUGCAACAGAAAGUGGAUAGAGAGUCAGUAACACCACAGCAGGAGGUGAAAGGAGGAGACCUGCAGGCAGGAAGAGAGAGGAGAGGGAAACUGUGCAAAAGUACAGCACAGAAUCGUGCCUCACAUCAGAUGGCAGCAAUGCAAAAAUGUGUGACACUGCAAAAUGAAGGCAAAGGAGAGAAAAAAAAAACAUCUGUGUGCGAUAGGGUUUAAAUCCAAUAACUGCAUGCAUGUAUGGAUCCGAGUCAUUGUUCAAAUAUUUGAGCCUUUGUGUGUGCGUGUGUGUGUGCAUGUGCACUUGCACAAUGAAUGGGGUGCCAGGCGGCAGCAGCUGGGAAUGCCUUCCUCUGUUCUCCUGUCAUCAAUAAAUGAUCAGAGUGGGCCAUCUGGAGAGAGGGAACCACCAACCACCAGGACCUGGCACUGAACGAAUGACACAGAGAAAGAAAAAGAAUGUGAGGAUAGAUCAGUGAACAGUAAGAGUAAGAGCAAGAUGGGACAGGAAGGGGGAAGUUACAUUUAAAGAACACUGGGGAGGCAAUUAAAAAGAUGAUGUGAAAAAGACCCUACAAUAUACUGGUGGAGCUCAAAAGAAAAUAGAAUAUUGUGAAAAGUUGUUUUUUCAUGAUUUAAUUCAAAAAGGCAUCAUCUCCGAUAUUCUUUUGUUUAUAUUUUUAUGAUUAUGGCUUAUAGCUCACGAAAAUCAGAAAUCAAGCAUCUUAUGUAAUUAGAAUAUUUCCAAACGGCAAUCAAAAAAAGGAUUUACUAUACUUCUGAGUAUGCUUUUUAUUCUACAGUACUUGAUUGGGUUUCUUUUACCAUGAAUUACUGGAUCAGUGCAGUGUGAUGCAGAGGCAUUCAGCUUGUGGUGUUGCUAAAAGCCAGGUUGCUUUGAUAACAGUCUUCAGCUCAUCUGUACUUUUGGGCUGAGUAUUUCACAUCUUACUCUUGUCAGUACCCUAUAAAUUGUCUGUAGGGUUCAGUCAGCUGAUCAAUUAAGCACAUUACAAUAAAAUUCACAUGACAAUAACUUGGUAAGCAAACCAUUUGGAAGUAGUUUUGGCACUGUUUGCAGGUGGUAGGUUUAAUCAAAAAGGAAACCGGCAUCGCCAUAAAGCUUUUCAACAGAUGGAAUCGUGACCUGAUCUCCUGGUAGACAGCUGUGUUGACUUUGGAUUUGAUGAAACAGAGUGAACCAACCACCACCAACACCAGCAGAUGACAUGGCACAAUAAAUCCUAACAGACUGCACAAACUUUACACUGGCAUUUCAACACUUACAUCUGUGUCUCUCUAGACUCUAGGAUCUUGAUUUUCAAAUGAAAUCAAAUUUACUUUCAUUUGAAACGAGGACUUUGGACCAUUAAGCCACAGUUUAGUUCUUUUUUUCCUUAGUCCAGCUAAGAUACUCCUGACACUGUCUGUGGUUCUGGAGUCUUUUGCCAUUACUUUUGCAACACUUGAAAGUGGCUGUGCAUGGUGGCUGUUGAUGUAUUGCAACCACCUGGGAUUCCUCUGGCCCGCCAGUAACCCCUUCACUUCCUGCCUGCUGAGAGAAAUAUCCAAGAAGAGCUCAGACUCCACUCCUCAAUUAUCAGCCAACUUUUACUACUGUAUACUUACCCCUGACCAUCACUAACCCCCCAUUUACUCUGCAGCAGAGCUUCCUGUUCAUUCCUGUAGAAAGAUACUCACUGGAGCACUUACCUUUUUCAGACUCCUGUUUUUUUUUUUUCAUUCCAAGUAGUUCUUAAAACUGUUGCUGUUCACAAGCAAAACGUGCUGUAAUGUGACUCGACAAAUUUGCACCUAGACAAAAAGAGUAAACUUCGACCACAUGUGCCAGAAGAAAAAUGCAGUUGUUUGUAGAGAUCGAAAGAACUCACACUUUUGCAUACUCAGAUACUACAUUUGACAUAAUACAUACAUAAUAUGACAUUUUCAGAGACAGAAAAUAUGCAAAGAAUAUGCAUAAAAUAAUUAGUUAAUUAAAAGUAAUUUUUUAAUGUAUUUAUUUUCACUUUUUUUUGUGACUGGAGUUAGGAGUGCCAUGGUCCUGAGUCUUUGACUUAGUAUUUUGAGUUUUAUACCCACCUGUUUCUUGGAAAGUUAUAAGAUAAUGUAAGUUCUUGUUCCUGAAUAUAUUAUGUUCUAGUGCCUCUGAGUUUGUUAUUUAAAUUUCUUGAAUUCUAGUUUCAUUAUUUUGUCUGUCUCUUAUAUGUGGUCUCUGAGUCUCUGUUUGUUUACCUCUGGUCUACCCAGUUGUGUCUCAGUGGCUGUCUGGUCUCUCUGUGUUCUGUCUCAUUUUUAGAAAAUCUUACUAAAUAAUAUUUAAAAAGCCAUGCUAUCCAAGCAUUAUGACAUUUGAAUUGAAGGAGAGUUAAUAAUUAAUCACUUAAUGGUGGAAGUAGUAUACAUUUAUCACUCUUUACAGUAGCUUAGUACAGCUCAGUACAGUACACUAUGCUGGAAGAACAUGAUAAAUAUUCAUAACAAUAGAUCCUGUUUGUAGGCUUGCAUUAGAAUCACAUGACUUUCUUUUUCUCACACUCACUGACAGUUUUCUAAAAUAUUCUAAUAUGCUGAAACUUGUAUCAGUUUUUGUUAUGUAUGUGCUACAUUUUAUUAUUAAGUAAGUUAUAAAGCUUCACAUAUACAUAUGUACACUUUUGUCUGCUAUACCCACUGGACCGCCAUACUAUUAUAAGCAGGCCCCUUUUAUUUUAACGUAAACCACAAAAGCAAAACCAUUCAUUAGCAGUCUUGCUAUCAUCCCCACAAACGUCUGUGGCCAUUUCAUUAUGUGAGCUAUAUUUUGAGCGUUUAUUUAAGAAAGCAGUUUAAUUCAUAUGUCAUAUUAAAUCAUAUUUUAUAUAUGUUACAUAUUAUAUACUAUUUAAUCUUUGUUUUAUGUACAUGAUAGUACUUGUCAUAAGCACACAUGAUGAGACCAGACAAAUAAUUAUUUUUUAAUAUUGUCCCCUACAUCAUUAGCUUAACAUGAUAAUUUUACAGUAGGCUACCUCUUAGGAAUUCAUAUCUAGCAUCCCCAAGCAAUAUGAAGCACUCUCUCUAAAUUUGUGUCUGCGUUCUUCUGUGUUUACAUGUAUGUCUAAAUGCAGCCCUAAUUUACAUUUGCAUGGUCAUUUCGGAUUUAAUUUGCCUCACUGUGUGACUAAUUUGUGCUCCAAUAAGUAGCAUAUGCCCCAGGCCAUAUAACCUAGACAUUGCAUGGUUUUAAAUGAGCUUUUAUAAUCCUUAGAGGCUAUAAAUAUGUCCAGUGAUUAGAUAUUUUAGUAAACUAACCUAUUAGAAUUGGUAUAAAAAAGCCAAGUAUAUGGUAAGCCACACAGCACACAACAGACUGGCUAAUUUUUAAUGUUAAAAUGUUAAAUACUGUAAGCAGAACUGGACAUAAACAAAGUAGGUACCAUAUUCAUAUUGCCUCUUCUUGGUAGCACUUUUCCUUUGUUUAAAACCCUUUUAUACAAUUUCUACUAAACUUUUUUCUCCAAGUGUUUUUAACACUUUCCAAUAAAUUUUUACCUAUUAGAUUUUUUUAAAUUUCAUGUAUUAUAAUAUCACAGUUGUUACUAUUUUC